RNAcentral lists this ribosomal RNA (468 nucleotides) under uncultured bacterium. RNAcentral describes it as "partial 16S ribosomal RNA". It matches the Rfam family "Bacterial small subunit ribosomal RNA", at positions 28 to 507 of the family's 1533-position model. The record is from RNAcentral.
GACGAACGCUGGCGGCGUGCUUAACACAUGCAAGUCGAACGGAAAGGCCCUGCUUUUGUGGGGUGCUCGAGUGGCGAACGGGUGAGUAACACGUGAGUAACCUGCCCUUGACUUUGGGAUAACUUCAGGAAACUGGGGCUAAUACCGGAUAGGAGCUCCUGCUGCAUGGUGGGGGUUGGAAAGUUUCGGCGGUUGGGGAUGGACUCGCGGCAUAUCAGCUUGUUGGUGGGGUAGUGGCUUACCAAGGCUUUGACGGGUAGCCGGCCUGAGAGGGUGACCGGCCACAUUGGGACUGAGAUACGGCCCAGACUCCUACGGGAGGCAGCAGUGGGGAAUACUGCACAAUGGGCGGAAGCCUGAUGCAGCAACGCCGCGUGCGGGAUGACGGCCUUCGGGUUGUAAGCCGCUUUCGCCUGUGACGAAGCGUGAGUGACGGUAAUGGGUAAAGAAGCACCGGCUAACUACGUG